This is a long non-coding RNA of Eutrema salsugineum, 895 nucleotides long. RefSeq lists it as uncharacterized. NCBI's taxonomy places the organism in Eukaryota, Viridiplantae, Streptophyta, Magnoliopsida, Brassicales, Brassicaceae. The transcript has 2 exons. The record is from RefSeq and is a predicted model, not a curated record.
CUCGAAAGAAAUUUCACCGAGUCUUCGAUGAUUUCGACGACUCCUGCCGUCGCCAUGCUCGUCUCUUUCGGGCCGAGACGACUCGUCGCUUUCUCCUCUGCUCCAAAAUCAAUUUGGGAUUGAGAGCUUGCUUCAUUGAGCAUAGACAUAGUCGGAGAGAGCGAUGGCCUUUGAUGGGUGUGUACAGAAAUUGGAUUUCUGACAAGUGAGAAAUCUCUUAAUCGAAAAAGAAGAGUGGUUAAGGUUAGAAGUAACAAAGGUUUAGGGUUUUACGGCGGAGAUAACAACAACAAGGCUCUGAUUCUCCCCACCGAAAAUCUCUCCGAUAUGAGCUCUGAUUCUCGUCGACUGUGAUCACGAGCCAUUCUCGGGUAAGAAGAUGAUUCCUUCACCUUUCGCUGUGGAUUGUUGGGCACUUUCAUCUUGUUCAAUCUCAAAAACCCAUCACCUUCUCUACUUCCAUUGUUGUCUCGUCUCUCGCACUGCAACGGCGUUUUCUUACGCAUCCCUGAGUCCAGUUUCCUUUGUUCCACUCCGUGUAACUCCGUCGGUCAAAAGUAUCAUUGUUGGCAAGAAUGCGUUUUGAGGAUGCUCGAAACUCUUCCACAUAAACUUAUCUCUUUUUGAGAGCAAAGGUGAUUUUGUAGAGACAUCAAAGAUGAUUCCACUGUUGAUGCUAGGAAGUCCAUGUCUGCUGCUAAACGUGCUGAGCUUGCUCUCAUCGAGCCAAAACGUGUUAAGAGGUAACUAGUAUUUUCGUCUUUUUUUUGUGCUUCUCUGUUUUACUAAAAUCCUGAUUAAGUUUCGGAUGAACAUGUUGUUUUGGUAAAAACUUCUAAAACUAUUCUUGAUGAUGAUGCAAUGAGGUAUCAGCAAUAAAACUAGAGUUUUUUUA